Long non-coding RNA from Eriocheir sinensis (Chinese mitten crab), 940 nucleotides. RefSeq lists it as uncharacterized. The record is from RefSeq and is a predicted model, not a curated record. NCBI's taxonomy places the organism in Eukaryota, Metazoa, Arthropoda, Malacostraca, Decapoda, Varunidae. The transcript has 2 exons.
CAGAUAAUCACGGCAGCUGUUGGUCAGACUGGCACAAUAACUUCCCCUCCAGCAGAAAAAUACUGCGAAUACCGAAUCCAGGCUCCUUCUGGAAGUCGCGUGAAGGUCAACGAAGUUACAUCAAGGAUUCUAGGGACAACGAACUGUGAAACUGACUGGCUUCUGCUGAACGGGAGGAGUGAGAAGAUGUACCCGUCAGACACCAGCUUAAUUAUCUGCGGCAAUAGGGUAGUGCCUUCACCUCUGAUAUCCCAGACCAAUGAGGUGUACGCAGCUUAUCAAGGCACCAGCAGCAGCAGCCGCGGUUUCACUAUCAAGUAUACCGUCAUCUAAGUCAAACGUUCCUGGAUUUUCUCGCCAAUCACGACUCCAAUGUAUCUAUACGGGCACGAAUUUCAUUUUCUUUACAACAAAGGAGACAGCUCAAGGGCACACAAAAAAGGAAACAAUAAUGAAAAAAAAAGAGCCCGCUUCUCGCUGCUCCUAAAAAAAUGAAUCAAAAGAGGUGGCCGAAAGAGAGGUCAAUUUCGGGAGGAGAAUUCAUUAGUACACCUGCAACCCUUUCAGUUUGCCUCUUGCCCACGAUGUUUCUUUGUUUAAAAGCAUAUCAUUGGUAAGCCAAGUCAGCUGAUAUAACUUAAACGAGGAACAGAUAUCAAGGCUGGUAUUACAAGACACUUUCCCUUCUCACAUCAAGAUAUUUCUAAAGGUCAAAAGGGGAUAUCAAUCAGGCUCUAAUGAGUGUUUUUUAGGCUCAGGGUACAGAAGAAGGGUCAAACUACCACCAGGGUCAUAAAACUAGAACCGGAAAUGCCCACAACUUCUAGGAAAGCCUUGUCAAAUAUGUGUUCUUGGGCGGCGAAAUGUCUUAUAAUGCGAGCCUAAGCAUCCUUAUAGUGUUCUACAAUAGCCGCCCCAAGAAAAUAAAUAUAUGCAGCAG